UACGUAGGGUGCGAGCGUUAAUCGGAAUUACUGGGCGUAAAGGGUGCGCAGGCGGCCGAGCAAGUCGAGUGUGAAAGCCCCGGGCUUAACUUGGGAAUUGCGCUCGAAACUACUUUGCUGGAGUGUGGCAGAGGAAGGUGGAAUUCCACGUGUAGCGGUGAAAUGCGUAGAGAUGUGGAGGAACACCAAUGGCGAAGGCAGCCUUCUGGGCCAACACUGACGCUCAUGCACGAAAGCGUGGGGAGCAAACAGG
RNAcentral lists this ribosomal RNA (253 nucleotides) under uncultured bacterium. Its description in RNAcentral is "partial 16S ribosomal RNA". It matches the Rfam family "Bacterial small subunit ribosomal RNA", at positions 524 to 776 of the family's 1533-position model. The record is from RNAcentral.